This 506-nucleotide ribosomal RNA is filed under the name uncultured bacterium. RNAcentral describes it as "partial 16S ribosomal RNA". It matches the Rfam family "Bacterial small subunit ribosomal RNA", at positions 29 to 523 of the family's 1533-position model. The record is from RNAcentral.
AUUGAACGCUGGCGGCAGGCCUAACACAUGCAAGUCGGACGGUAGCACAGGGGAGCUUGCUCCUCGGGUGACGAGUGGCGGACGGGUGAGUAAUGUCUGGGGAUCUGCCCGAUAGAGGGGGAUAACCACUGGAAACGGUGGCUAAUACCGCAUAAUGUCGCAAGACCAAAGAGGGGGACCUUCGGGCCUCUCACUAUCGGAUGAACCCAGAUGGGAUUAGCUAGUAGGCGGGGUAACGGCCCACCUAGGCGACGAUCCCUAGCUGGUCUGAGAGGAUGCCCAGCCACACUGGAACUGAGACACGGUCCAGACUCCUACGGGAGGCAGCAGUGGGGAAUAUUGCACAAUGGGCGCAAGCCUGAUGCAGCCAUGCCGCGUGUAUGAAGAAGGCCUUCGGGUUGUAAAGUACUUUCAGCGGGAAGGAAGGCGAUGUGGUUAAUAACCGCGUCGAUUGACGUUACCCGCAGAAGAAGCACCGGCUAACUCCGUGCCAGCAGCCGCCGUAA